This is a long non-coding RNA of Chenopodium quinoa (quinoa), 2959 nucleotides long. RefSeq lists it as uncharacterized. The record is from RefSeq and is a predicted model, not a curated record. The transcript is spliced from 8 exons. NCBI's taxonomy places the organism in Eukaryota, Viridiplantae, Streptophyta, Magnoliopsida, Caryophyllales, Amaranthaceae.
ACAUUCUCACCGAUUGUUUCUUCAGUGGCCAUAACUUUGACGUUCCAUCGUCGGUGAUCAAUUAUAAGUGAAAUUGAGGUUCUUGAGGGUUAUGUGGUAGUCGGAAUACAACCAAAAGCCGCAAGAGCGGCGUCCGGUUGAAUUAAAAAAGAAAAGGUUAGUGGAACUAAAUCGCACUGAAUUAAUGUGGUAUUUUGUCGAAAAGUAACUCAAAUUGCGACAUUGUGCUCUUGCUAUGGCUUCAAUUGAAGACCAUUUAGGUUUAUGGUUGUUAUCGUGAAUCAAAUUUUGUUGUUUAUAUGGAUUGAAUUGAAUACCGAUUGUGUUUCUUUAAAUUCUUGUUUGUGCUCUUGCUAUGGCUUUAUGUUGAUGGAGAUUAUUCUGAAACAAAAUAUGUUGUGAAUUAAAUAGCUUAGAUUUUGCGAAUUAUAUAGCUUAGCUUUUGCGAAUCAAAUAGGUUAAAUUGAAGACAUACUGUGUUAAUGUAACUUGUUGUGAAUCUAAUUUCGUCGAUAAGUAGCAGAAACUGUUUGUGUUCUGGCGAUGGGUAGUAGUGAACAUCAUCUGUGUUCUGAAACUUAUUGUGAAUCCAAUUUUGUUGAAAACCAAACAAUUAACGUUAAUGAAAUGUUAUGAAUUGGAAUUUGAGUUUGCGAUUCGAUUUGCAGCAUUAGAACAAUUUCUGUAUUUUUUUUUUGGUGUUAUGGUUGUUUGUUCUCAAAAUUUUCAAUGUGUAUUAAUUAAAUUGGUUGACUAUUAGUUUGAUUCUAGUAGUUUGAUUGUAUUAGACGCAACGGAUAAUAAAAUUUUACUCCAAAUGAUGCAAGAUAGCAAACACGUAUUCCGGGCAAUGUUCAAGAUAAGUUCUAAAUCACACCAAGAUACUCUCUGCCUGUCAAACUUUCGUUUAUGAUGUUUUGAAAUCUACCAGUAGGAUGAUAGUUUGACUGUUGGUGGGAAAUUAAAAGCUUAAGGUGAAGUUUUAAAGGAGUUUUUUAAGGCAAGGUCUAAGGUAAAGUACAAUGUGUGUUGUUUUUCAAGUUCAAGUAAAUGUUAUGAUGUUGUUAUUUUUUCCAUUUAACGUAUUGUACCCAAAUUCAAUAGCCACCAAACAUUAACUAUCGAGUGGAGAGUUUUGCCAGAAUCUAUCAUACCUUUGAAUCACGUAGGAGACGGUGGGUUGCCGAAAUGGGAUUUGGAGGGCUAUUGUAUUUAUCUGGUGACAUGCAUCUUCCAAGGCAGCUGGGGUACUGGUUAGUGACCCGAAUGGAUCCGAUUAGUAAGAUGUUACAACCCCGGAUGGAAGGUGUUUAAGGUUGUCUAAAAAUCAAGUUCAUUGGGUUCUUGGCAUCCCUAAUGGACUAAAGAUACUUCCAUCAUGCAAAACAUUAAAGAGGGUACAACGGGAGAAGGUUAAAAACAUAAUUGCAAAAUACGGGACAACACGGAAUAAUGGACAACCAAACGUCUACGAUAAAGUAGGAAUUCCAGUCUACCCCGAGUUAUUGGAGAAGCUUGAGUGUUAUUGGGAAGAGAACGAGGAGGAAGAGUUCAAGAUGCUCUUCUUAUUGUUUGCUUUCGAAAUGUUGUUUUGUCCUACUUUGUCCACUAGAUUGUCUUCUGACUUGGUACCUGCUUUGACAUGUGCUAUGGAAGCCGUUGAAUAUGAUUGGUGCACUCUGGUGCUAUCCAAGCUGCUUUCUAGUGUCCGGUCCUUUGCUCGUAGAUUUUAUUCUUAUGGGCAUGCUGGUGGAUGUGGUGGCUGCAUUUUAUUUGUCGUGAUUUUUUACUUGGACCGGCUUGAUAGGGGAGGCUGUACAAUGGGGUGUUUUCCCUAGGUUGAAGGUCUGGACCAUGAAGGAGAUAAUGAUUGCUAGCAAGGAGACAGAUCACCCAAUGGAGGUGAUUAUGGAUGCAAAGGGACCCUGGAUGUUGCUUAUGGUGAGAUUCAUCCAAGGCAGGCUAGAGCUACGGAUGGACCUGGUCCUGUAACUAAGGUUGUUAUUGAACAUGAUAUUGAUUUCACAGCGACUCCUAGACGUCGUAGAGGAGCGUCAUCAUCAAAGAUCCCUCGCGAGGAAGCUGAAAACACAUACGGAAUAGAAAGUGCAAGUGUUGUUGCUGUUAUUUCUGAAGAACCGAAUCAAACACAAGGCAAAAUAUCAGUUGUGUCCGAUGCUUUAUCGCAUGUUGGUUAUGUAGAUGAUUGGUGAAGGUUUCUACCUACAAGAGCUCUCUCCCUGCUAAGAAAGAUGAUUUUGGGGAUAAUGAGAGCUUCUAACUAUUUCAUGAUGGGUGAUUGGCCAUUAAUUUUAUCUUCUGCAUUUCUUCAGGUAGUAUCGUUUGAUGGACUAUCAGAUUACAAUACCGUGAUUCUCCCUUCAUUGUCUACAUUCAUUGGAAAUCCCAGAUGUUCUGUUCUAUUGGUUGUCUCAGAGGUUAUUCUACAAGACCGUUGAAGAACCUUAAGUUUUGAUCUUGCUUUGUACCGGAUUUGUAUUGCGUUAAAGACAAACUCCCGAUAUGAAAUGAUGUUGUAAUCUGCUUACUCCAUAACAUGAGAUAUCAGUUCUAUCGUAGACCUAUGUUGAACAUACAACAAGUUUAUCACGAUAUAUUUGUUUCCUGCAUGAAAAAGGCCUCACUACUUCCAAGCUGUCAAGGAACAUGUUGUUGGUACAAAGGAGUCGUGCGUAAAACAACUGCAAAACGCCCCCUAACUUAUUUGAGCCCCCUUGUUUAUGCUAAUUUAGGUAAUUCUAUAAAUAUUUUAUACUAGGCAACGUAUGACAACUUGUAUUAUUAUUUCCUUUUUUUUAUUAGAGUUGUAUUAUUAUUUCUCUACUGUAGUUUAUAAUUGAGGCAUGAGUUUUACUCACCCACACACACCAUGUAUUUCUCUACUUUAAGUGUGAUUUGUUUCACUUAUGAAUAUGUCGUACCGGCCCUUGAAUAUGAA